UACGGAGGGUGCAAGCGUUAUCCGGAUUCACUGGGUUUAAAGGGUGCGUAGGCGGGUCAGUAAGUCCGUGGUGAAAUCUCUGAGCUUAACUCAGAAACUGCCGUGGAUACUAUUUGCCUUGAAUAUUGUGGAGGUGAGCGGAAUAUGUCAUGUAGCGGUGAAAUGCUUAGAUAUGACAUAGAACACCAAUUGCGAAGGCAGCUUACAACAUAGUUAUUGACACUGAGGCACGAAAGCGUGGGGAUCAAACAGG
Molecule: ribosomal RNA, 253 nt
Filed under: uncultured bacterium
Lineage: Bacteria
Description: partial 16S ribosomal RNA
Rfam family: Bacterial small subunit ribosomal RNA
Source: RNAcentral